Non-coding RNA from Oryza sativa Japonica Group (Japanese rice), 5318 nucleotides. The record is from RefSeq and is a predicted model, not a curated record. Lineage: Eukaryota; Viridiplantae; Streptophyta; Magnoliopsida; Poales; Poaceae.
CAACGGCUACUCUUCUGCGUGUGACGCCUUCCUCACGCUCGCCGUCUCUCUCUCUCUCCUCCACGCCCUAAUCCUCUCUCCUUCUCACAUGCCGCCGCCGAUCUCCUUCCACGAAGCGCCGCCAGGUGCUACCUCCGCCGCGUCGCACUCGCGCUGCCGUCCCUCUGCCUCACCGAUCUCCCCGCCCCCGCUCACCUCACAACCACCUCCAUCCCGUGGUCGCCGACUCUCCCCCCUUCUUCGCGCCGGCCUCCCUCCGCCACCCACCUCACAACUACCUCCAGUACUCUGGCGUGCCGGUGCGGCUGCGGCAGGGAGGCGGCGGCUCGCGGGCUCGACCGGCCGGCGCUUCGUGCCGUGCGGCUGCGGCGAGCCGGCGAGUGGCAACUGCGGCGCGGCCGCGCGGCGCGACUCGUGAGGCAGCCAGGUAGGGGCGCACCGGCGGCAGCGCCACAGCGGCUCGGGCGGCGCUGCAGUGCCACGCAGGGCGCCGGCACGCCAUCUCGGCCACCUCCUCAGCACCUCCUCAGCAGGUUCAAAAAGUUGGGCCCACCACUGCACUCCGCGGUGGCCUACAUCGCCGACUCCCCUUCUCCACGCGCAAUGGCAGUCUGCAAUCGACAAGGUGUCUGGCUUCUGGAUCCGUUUGUCUCCGUUGAUCUCCACGGUGGUCCUCUUUGCGCCGGAUCGCACGACGCCGCACUGAUCCCAUUCCCCUCUUCAUAUGCCCCUGUUGUGAAGGUUUGGAUAUCAUGAAAGGUCCCAUAUUGGAGAUUACUACAUAUAGCAUACGGUGAACUUACCAAAUGAACAGAGGUAUUUAAGCUGCUCCUUUGCAGUUUAUUUUUAUACGGGUGUGCAAUCUGUGACUUUAACCACCAGGCAAUGCUUGCUCAUAGCAAAGAAGUUAAAAUUUGCUAAAUAAGGCUACAAAUCUGAUCAGGACUAUCAGAAUGUUGAGUUAAUUUAUUCUUAGUACUUUCAAUUAACCAUGUAUUAUUUAUCAAUAUUUAAAGAUCGCAUAAAACCUCUCCUGUUCUUGCCAUUUUUCAGUAUCUUUAUCAAUAUUGUGUUCUUCUAUGCGUGAUAUAAAUUUUGAAGUAUCCUGUACAUUUAUCCCCUCACCAGUGCUAGGAAAUUUUGGGUUCUACAUUCUUUAGUUUCAUACUAAAUUAUAUAUGCAUUUCAGCCAUCACUCUUUGUUUCUUAUGUCUUGGAAAAUAAAUAAGCUCAGGGCCUUGUCAUUUGUAUGGCAUUUUUUUUGUGGUAUGGCAGGUUGAUAUGAGAAGCUCAUAAGAAAGGCACAAACUUUGUCCUCAUUAAGGCGCGUUUACAUGAUAAAUAUUGUUCCCAUUGCUGGAUCACUAAACUUCAACAAACCGUGUUUAUUUUGGUCAUAGAUUCAGAAAAGAAAAUGAGUUUGAAUGAAUAUUGUUUACUUAAAUUGCUCCUAAGUUGGUUCAACCUUCUCAAAAAAGAUGUGAGGCAAUGACUCCAGUUUUUUAGUUCUGUAUACAGAAUGUAUUUGUCACCCUAGGAAUUAUUUGAGGGGCAAUAUUUUUAUGAAUCUUAAAGAUUGAAUUUCAAUCCAUCUGCCCUGGCUUGAAGGUAAACAUGAUUUUAUUUUAAGAUUGCAUUUUAGUUUACACUAGAUGUACAUUGUAGCUAGGUCUGUCGUUUUUAUUUGUGAAACUCAAUUGGUGUAACUGCUGUAAUUUAACUGCAGAUCUCAAAACCAUGUAUACCACAAUUGGUGCUAUUAAGUACUUCUGCAUCAAUAUUGAUUAUUGUUUGGUUUUUAUACAAUACAACUCUGUUAAUUAGUGUGGAAUCACUUCACCCAUAUACUUUUGGGAUUUAUUGGGAUCAAUUGUUUCCAGAGUGUGCAAGGGCUAUGUAUGGUGCUUCAGGGUGCUGGUAUAUUGUACACCCCAUGAUAAUUUGCCUAUACUUCCAUGAACAUCAGAAGUGUGUCAUGCAAGGCCAUGUUGGUGAUAGUUUGAGGGUGCUAUAUGCUCUCUUUUUUUUUGCAAAUCAUUUGAGAACUGCUUUUACCACAAUAUAUAUUGAUGUACUUUCAUUAACAAUGUAAAGAUAUUAUUCAUCAAAUGUAAAGAUAUUGAUGUGGUCCUACUCAAUGAAUUUCUGAUGUUUCUCUAACUCUUUUUUUGUAUGGAAAUAAUAAUGACACUUGGUUUCUUCUCCGUUGCAAUGAUUUAUUUCUUGCCAACAUAGAUUCUAUGUGCAUUAUUGUAAACUGGUGUUUAUUUUUCAUUUUUAACAUCAAUGAAAAUUUACAAUGAAGUUUGAUUUCUCUCUAAAAUAGAAAUGGACUGUCAUGUGUGUAUAUUGAGUCCGCACUGUAGAAUGUUAGACUCAAUCAAGGUUUUGUACCUCUAUCUGUGAGAUUGGCCUUAUGCUCUGGAGAUAAUUUGUUUCCUGUGUUUCAACAGUAAUUCACUAGGUUUAUCCCUUGAUGAACACAAUUUCUAUAUAUUAUGAAUACCGGAGGGGAAAUUUUGGACCAGACAUUUGAAGUUGAUUGCUCCUUUGAAGACUCAUGCUACAAAGCUAGGCAAUCAGGGGUUCCAAAAGAUGCACUCCAAAUGUUUUGCAGGAAAAUCUGUAGGAAGCUGGAAACAACAGUGCAAGCCCGGCUUUCUGUCGAUUGUUGCUGUACGUAGUAAGCAACGUUCAUGGUGUUUUUGUAGCUCAUGAUGUAAUUUAUGAAUGAUUAGUACUUUCUCUGCUACAUAUUUUGUCAAAAUAUAUGUCAUUAGAUUGGUAUCCAGUGAAUCUAUUAGGUUGUGUGAUCAGUGUAGAUAAAUUUGAAGUGUCGACUCUUUUCUGAAGUGAACAGUCCAUGUUGCAGCCUUCAGUGAUCCAAACUUCUGAAUCAGGAGUGUUUGAGAGGAGAGGAAAAGAGAAGAUUGAGAAGAUACGCAAAACGAGGUGAGCCAUUACCACAUGAUUAAUUGAGGUCUGGUCAUGUUUUUUAUUCAUCAUGAUCAAUGAAGAUAUCCAAUUAUUGAGGUUGGCCUUUUACAGCCCCAUUGUUUAGCUUAUUUGAGGAAUAAGCCAAACAUCUUACUUGCAAACGAAAAAUAAUUUGUGAAUAAAACUUUUAUAUACAUGUUCUUAAUGAUCUAAAAGCAAAGGCUGAAAAAUAAACUACGAUGAAAAAAAACUCAAAAUCGACUCCAAAUUUAAGGUUGAAAAUUUAAAUUCUGGCUAAUAAGCAUAAGCAUAAGCGAAAAGAUGAGGCCGUUAGAUUUAUACCGAUUUUUCACGAUUACAUAUCAUUGGCCAUGUUUGGUGUUGAAAAUUCACCAGUUUUAUAGUUUUGCAUGAAAGUCUAUAGGAAGCUGGAAACAACAGUGCAAGCCUGGCUUUCUGUCGAUUGUUGCUCUACGUGGUAAGCAACGUUCAUGGUGUUUUUGCAGCUCAUGAUUUGAUUUAUGAAUGAUUAGUACUUUCUCUGCUACAUAUUUUGUCAAAAUAUAUGUCAUUAGAUCGGUGUCCAGUGAAUCUAUUAGGUUGUGUGAUCACUGUAGAUAAAUUUGAAGUAUCGACUCUUUUCUGAAGUGAACAGUCCAUGUUGCAGCCUUCAGUGAUCCAAACUUCUGAAUCAGUGAGUUUCAGCUCUCUUUUACUUCUGAGCAUGAUGAAGGGCUUUAACUAUAUCAUCCUCUUAUUAUUCAGAUAUAGUAAUACGAUGUCUAACCCUAUCUUCCUUCUUUGUAUGAAGGGCAUGCAGUAUAUUCGUGUGUUCUUGAAAAAGUGUGUAAAACAUAUCCAUUCUAAAUUUUCUGGGGAAAGCUCCAUAGAUUUGAUUUUGAUCAGUUUGUAAACACUCUAGUUUAGAACUGGAACUAUUUCCUAAUCACCGAUAAUGCUCAACACCCUGCAUCUAAGUUUUUAUUUUGUAAGGCUCAACUACUUUUUUUGUUUUAUGGGAAGACAACUGGUGCGCAUUAAAAUAGACGAGUAAUUUUGCACUGAACAUCUGCACUCUACUAACCUAGUUAAAAUUUUGUAAAAUUACUUCCACAUUGCUGCAAAAGUGGAGGUGAAGGCUAUUAGAACUGUGUGGCCUGCCACUAGAAGGAAUUAUAAGGUUUCCUCUCUUCGUAUUAAUUAUCUGAAUGACAAUUUUUACUUCAUAGAUCACGACAAAUGGUAUGAGAUUAGGAGCAGAAGCUGACUCUGGUGUUGCAGCAGCCCCCUGGUUCGUGACAGGGAUGCUUAACAAUUGAAUAUCUUAUACUAAAUCAUGUAAUUUUUAAUGUCUGUGGUUUUACAACAACCUCUCCAACACCUUAAAAGAUGCUGGUUAGAAAUCAGACGAUCUUCAAAGUCAACCAUCCUAAAGUAACUUGGGACAGUAGGGAUGGGAGAGCUAUUAGCAUCUUAUUCUAUUGAAUCAAUGUUCCUAUUUUUUUACCGAGUUACCUAUUAAUGUUAGUUGGAUGCAGUAAUUAAAACUGUUUUUUUAUCAAAAAAUAUUGUUUUUAAUUAAUGUAUAGUACUGUAGCUCUGGUCAUGUUUUUUAUUCAUCAUGAUCAAUGAAGAUUUCCAUUUAUUGAGGUUAGCCUUUUACAUCCCAUUGUUUGGCUUAUUCUUAUUUGCAAACGAGAAAUAAUUUGUGAAUAAAACUUUUAUAUACAUGUUCCUAACGAUCUAAAAGCAAAGGCUAAAAAAUAAACUACGAUGAAAAAAACCACAAAAUCAACUCCAAAUUUAAGGUUGAAAAAUCAAAUUUUGGCUAAUAAGCAUAAGCAUAAGCAACAAGAUAAGGCCGUUAGAUUUAUACCGAUUUUUCAUGAUUACAUAUCAUUGGCCAUGUUUGGUGUUGAAAAUUCACCAGUUUUAUAGUUUUGUAGGUUUUGCAGGAAAAUCUAUAGGAAGCUGGAAACAACAGUGCAAGCCUAGCUUUCUGUCGAUUGUUGCUCUACGUGCCUUCAGUGAUCCAAACUUUAGAAUCAGUGAGUUUCAGCUCUCUUUUACUUUUGAGGAGAGGAAAAGAGAAGAUUGAGAAGGCACGCAAAACGAGGUCUUCACAUCCCUUGCCAACUCCUAUGCGGUUGCUCCUACCGUCUGCUAAAAAAAAUGAGUUCAAUGCUCUUGCUUUGCUUGAGAAUAGGAGGAUACAAAGAGAACAAGGAAGAGGAGGAACGCAUUAGAGGUUUUUGGUGCUCAAGGACUGCUCGAUGAAAUGUAUCUUGAGGGGCUCAUCCCAAGUAUUUGUCUCUUCUAUCGAUUGACAUGUAGUGAUUUAGUGCCUUCCUCUGGAUUGUGCACACAAGAACUGUUGGCCA